This is a non-coding RNA of Ciona intestinalis (vase tunicate), 375 nucleotides long. The record is from RefSeq and is a predicted model, not a curated record. NCBI's taxonomy places the organism in Eukaryota, Metazoa, Chordata, Ascidiacea, Phlebobranchia, Cionidae.
UUUUUAUAUAUUAAACAACUUUACAAAAAUAUAUACAAAUAAACUUUCUAACAAAUGACAGUUUAAUAAUUUUACCCUGAAUAUUUUAAUGAGGUUUGAAUAUGCAAUAUUAAAUCUAAAGUGCAAACGUAAACAAUAAAACCAAAAAUUUUGUGUAAAAUAUUCUUUGUGUAAAUAAGUAGUAUUAACAAAAUCUAAGCUAAUUUUGGUCAUCAUCAGUUACUGGUUGUUCUAAUUUAUUCACAGGAACAUAGGGUAGUGCAGAGUUUUGCAGGGAGCUUGAUUUAUUAAUGGCAAUUUUCAUAAUAGCAGAGACUGGAGCCUCAAUAAGCAUCGACAAUGCAUAUGCAAUCAUAGUUGCCAUCACUAAUGUUG